UGAAGCAGGACCUCUAAUGAUGCUGCAGCUU
RNAcentral lists this non-coding RNA (31 nucleotides) under Rattus norvegicus (Norway rat). Lineage: Eukaryota; Metazoa; Chordata; Mammalia; Rodentia; Muridae. The record is from RNAcentral.